GGGAAUCCAGGAAUAAAAUUGACACAUCCCAUUCAAUCUUUCUGCGGCAGAUAAUAAUGUUAUCUUUAAAAACUUUUUAGAAAAACACUUAUUAUUAAAAGUGUUUUUUUUACUUGUCAUGUUCAAUCUUUUUCAACAUUUUGAAAUUAUAUUUCAUAUUCGAUGGUAGAAUUUCUUAUAAAUUGAACACAUUUUGUGUAGAGGUUUCCAUAUUUC
Molecule: long non-coding RNA, 216 nt
Filed under: Gossypium barbadense (sea-island cotton)
Lineage: Eukaryota; Viridiplantae; Streptophyta; Magnoliopsida; Malvales; Malvaceae
Description: long non-coding RNA (GBAR_LNC016445)
Source: RNAcentral